UCUGGUGUCCUAGGCAUAGAGGAACCACAUCAAUCCAUCCCGAACUUGGUGGUUAAACUUUACUGCGGUGACGAUAAUGUAGGGGAGGUCCUAUAAAAAAAUAUCUCGACGCCAGGA
Molecule: non-coding RNA, 117 nt
Organism: Capsicum annuum
Lineage: Eukaryota; Viridiplantae; Streptophyta; Magnoliopsida; Solanales; Solanaceae
Source: Rfam